ACGCUUCAGCAGCAUAUAUGCUAAAAUGGGAAUGAUACAGAGAAGAUUAGCAGGCCUCUGGGCAAGGAUGACAUGCAAAUUCAUGAAGCAUUUCAUAUUUUU
Capra hircus (goat) is the source of this 102-nucleotide small nuclear RNA. Lineage: Eukaryota; Metazoa; Chordata; Mammalia; Artiodactyla; Bovidae. The record is from Ensembl.